This 263-nucleotide unclassified non-coding RNA is filed under the name plant metagenome. Its description in RNAcentral is "partial contains small subunit ribosomal RNA, internal transcribed spacer 1, and 5.8S ribosomal RNA". The record is from RNAcentral.
AUUCCGUAGGUGAACCUGCGGAAGGAUCAUUAUUGUAUAACCGAGGUGCGAGGGCUGUCGCUGACCCGAAAGGUCGUGCACGCCCGAGUGCUCUCACACACAUCCAUCUCACCCCUAUGUGCACCACCGCGUGGGUCCCCCUUUGGCUUGUUCGGAGGGGGGCUUACGUUUUCACACAAACUUUGUAUGCAGUGUAGAAUGUAUUUUUUGUUUUUGCGAUCACGCAAUCAAUACAACUUUCAACAACGGAUCUCUUGGCUCUC